GACGAACGCUGGCGGCGUGCUUAACACAUGCAAGUCGAGCGGUAAGGCCCUUUCGGGGGUACGACGAGCGGCGAACGGGUGAGUAACACGUGGGUGACCUGCCCUCAGCUCUGGGAGUAAGCCUGGGAAACCGGGUCUAAUACUGGAUAUGACUCCAUGACGCAUGUUGUGGGGUGGAAAGCCUUGUGCGGCUGAGGAUGGGCCCGCGGCCUAUCAGCUUGUUGGUGGGGUGAUGGCCUACCAAGGCGACGACGGGUAGCCGGCCUGAGAGGGCGACCGGCCACACUGGGACUGAGACACGGCCCAGACUCCUACGGGA
RNAcentral lists this ribosomal RNA (319 nucleotides) under uncultured bacterium. RNAcentral's name for it is "bacterial SSU rRNA". It matches the Rfam family "Bacterial small subunit ribosomal RNA", at positions 28 to 346 of the family's 1533-position model. The record is from RNAcentral.